Molecule: ribosomal RNA, 641 nt
Filed under: uncultured Sphingomonas sp.
Lineage: Bacteria; Pseudomonadati; Pseudomonadota; Alphaproteobacteria; Sphingomonadales; Sphingomonadaceae
Description: bacterial SSU rRNA
Rfam family: Bacterial small subunit ribosomal RNA
Source: RNAcentral
GUCGAGGGGUAACAUUGUAGCUUGCUACAGAUGACGACCGGCGCACGGGUGAGUAACGCGUAUGCAACCUGCCUUUGACAGGGGGAUAGCCCGGAGAAAUCCGGAUUAAUAUCCCAUGGUAUUUACGAAUCGCAUGGUUUGUAAAUUAAAGAUUUUAUCGGUCAAAGAUGGGCAUGCGUGACAUUAGCUAGUUGGUAAGGUAACGGCUUACCAAGGCUGCGAUGUCUAGGGGUUCUGAGAGGAUGAUCCCCCACACUGGUACUGAGACACGGACCAGACUCCUACGGGAGGCAGCAGUGAGGAAUAUUGGUCAAUGGGCGCAAGCCUGAACCAGCCAUCCCGCGUGAAGGAAGACUGCCCUAUGGGUUGUAAACUUCUUUUCUGCACCAAGAAUGGUUACUACGUGUAGUGAUUUGACGGUAGUGCAGGAAUAAGCAUCGGCUAACUCCGUGCCAGCAGCCGCGGUAAUACGGAGAUGCAAGCGUUAUCCGGAUUCAUUGGGUUUAAAGGGUACAUAGUGGCCAAUUAAGUCAGUGGUGAAAUCCUGCCGCUUAACGGUAGAACUGCCUUGAAACUGGUUGGCUUGAGUACAGUUGAGUAGGCGGAAUGUGUAGUGUAGCGGUGAAAUGCUUAGAUAUUAC